Anguilla rostrata (American eel) is the source of this 1195-nucleotide long non-coding RNA. RefSeq lists it as uncharacterized. Lineage: Eukaryota; Metazoa; Chordata; Actinopteri; Anguilliformes; Anguillidae. The transcript has 2 exons. The record is from RefSeq and is a predicted model, not a curated record.
UGCAGUUAUCGCGUUAAACGGGGUUUUAGUUUCAAAAUGGUGGUGUUAUCCUCCAGGGUCUGGAGCUACACACCGCAUUACUGGUUAUAAUUUGAUUUCAGGUGGUGGUGAAGGUUUAAUUCCCAGCGUAUAUGCGGUUAACUCUGUAAAACUGCUGCUUCGUGAUCAGGAAAUAAUAAUGUCAGUGCAUCUGAGCGGUUUUGCGGAUGCAGAAAUAAGAACAAACCACAACGCCGGGACAUUGCCUGCCAUGGAGCGAACGGGGAUGCGUUAGUGCAUUGCAACACAAAAUUAUGUUUCGUGAUUUUGCUUUUCCUGGGUAAAUUACUACCGAUUUACUGAAUCAAAUUAAAGGUAUAUAUGCACUGAUGCAAACGUGUAAAUGGCACAACUACGUGGGUGGCUACAGCAUAACUAGCUCAAUGGAAGUGUCUGUGAGGCUUAAACGUGUAACCAUUAGACGCCGCACUCUCCGGUACUCACAGCACUGCAGCGCUCGCCAUCAUCGUGCUCUCCGUCUUUUCCCGUUUCCCUGCACACCUGGGAGCUGAUGCGAGCGCGCUCCGGACGGCAUGCGCGCGGACACCGGGCGAGCACGCGACCGUGCUUUUCGAGCGAGACAGUGGACGCGCGCUGCGACAGGAGAGAAGCGCCUGAGUGGAUGAUAUCUUCUAAAUAAACACCCACGCGCUCUCUCUGCUUGCCAGCACGUCUGAAACUAUUUGUAUGGAAUAUGAAAUUUGUUAAUGUCCUAGCUGUAACUAUAUAUGGCCGUGGCUUAUUCUAAUGAGAUUCUAAAUUGACAUGUGGCACGUAUAUUUGACGUGGUUAAAAUGUCUACGUUAUAUUUGGGGCAGAUUUGUAGGGUAUAUUCCGUAUUUCGUGCUUAAAUCAACGUUGCUUCUUCCACGGCAGAUGUAUCACCCCUGCAUCACCCCAAGAAAAGAUUAGUUGAUUCUAAAUAGCAUAUUCAUAAUUUAAUUGAAAUACCAUUGCAGCAGAUGAAACAUAUUGUGUGUAAUCCUUUGACGUUAGACCUUCGUGGGAUGACACCAUUUCAUUGUUUUUCCUUGACUUGUCAUCGGAUGUCACAUGACACAGUAUAAACACCUAGAAGGCAUAAUGAAGUAUACAGCUGGAUGGGCCAGAAUCAUUGGCACGGUGUUUUAAGUAUUUUAAACCCUACAUUAGUCUG